GGACUACCCGGGUAUCUAAUCCUGUUUGAUCCCCACGCUUUCGUGUCUCAGUGUCAAUUCAGGCCCAGGAGGUUGCCUUCGCCAUUGGUGUUCUUCCAGAUAUCUACGCAUUUCACCGCUACACCUGGAGUUCCGCCUCCCUCUACCGAAUUCUAGUCAGACAGUAUCAAAAGCAGUUCCAGAGUUAAGCCCUGGGCUUUCACAAUUGACUUUCCCGACCACCUACACACGCUUUACGCCCAGUAAAUCCGAUUAACGCUUGCACCCUCUGUAUUACCGCGGCUGCUGGCAC
This 292-nucleotide ribosomal RNA is filed under the name uncultured bacterium. RNAcentral describes it as "partial 16S ribosomal RNA". The record is from RNAcentral.